This 329-nucleotide ribosomal RNA is filed under the name uncultured eukaryote. RNAcentral's name for it is "partial 18S ribosomal RNA". It matches the Rfam family "Eukaryotic small subunit ribosomal RNA", at positions 1470 to 1796 of the family's 1831-position model. The record is from RNAcentral.
CCCUUAGAUGUCCUGGGCCGCACGCGCGCUACACUGAGUGUCUGAAAUACGAGUCUGCCUGGUCCGGCAAGGUCUAGGUAAUCGCUAAAAGACACAUCAUGCUUGGGAUAGAUUAUUGCAAAUAUUAAUCUUGAACGAGGAAUUCCUAGUAAGCGCAAGUCAACAGCUUGCGUUGAUUACGUCCCUGCCCUUUGUACACACCGCCCGUCGCUACUACUGAUUGGAUGUUUAAGCGAGGUUCUCGAACUGCUAGCGACUUAGCUUCGGUGAGGUCGCAGUGUGGGAAGUGAACCUAGCUUUGGUGUCUAGAGGAAGUAAAAGUCGUAACA